Molecule: long non-coding RNA, 292 nt
Filed under: Hordeum vulgare
Lineage: Eukaryota; Viridiplantae; Streptophyta; Magnoliopsida; Poales; Poaceae
Description: long non-coding RNA (HVUL_LNC011573)
Source: RNAcentral
GACUACACAAGUGCAUUACAAAGUCCCUCGAGCAUCCAUCCAUAUGCCAUGUUGCUUUAUCAAAAUCUGCAUAAUGAGAAAGAAGUUAGAAGAAGAAUACAAUAAGAAAGAAAUUAUCUAAAUUAAGCUAAGCAAUUAGAAGAAGAAGUGGAAGAAGAAGAAGAAGAACAAGAAGAAGAAGAAGAAGAAGAACAAGAACAAGAAGAAGAAGUGGAAGAAGAAGACUAAAGCAUGACUAAUAUCAACUAGAAUUUACUAAGCUAACUAAAGCAUGGCAUAAUCUAAGUUGAUC